RNAcentral lists this non-coding RNA (240 nucleotides) under Enterococcus devriesei. Its description in RNAcentral is "T-box sequence". It matches the Rfam family "T-box leader". Rfam says of the family: Uncharged tRNA acts as the effector for transcription antitermination of genes in the T-box leader family. T-boxes are found upstream of many aminoacyl-tRNA synthetase genes and some amino acid biosynthetic genes usually in Gram-positive bacteria. Lineage: Bacteria; Bacillati; Bacillota; Bacilli; Lactobacillales; Enterococcaceae. The record is from RNAcentral.
UAAAAAACGAUGAGAAAGAAAGUAGAGAUAAACCCUUUUCCAUCAGAGAGUCUCGGUAGCUGAAAAGAGAUGAACAGGAUUUAUGUUGAAAAUGGCUUUUGAGUGGAUCUUCUGAUUAAUUAAGAAGAUACGGGAUGUUCCGUUAAACAACAGAAGUCUCCCAUGUUGGGGUACUUGUCGAGGCAGUGGAUCGUGAGGUCGCUGCAAAAUAAGGUGGUAACGUAUAACUAUGCCCUUAGA